Molecule: ribosomal RNA, 580 nt
Filed under: Diaphanopellis purpurea
Lineage: Eukaryota; Fungi; Basidiomycota; Pucciniomycetes; Pucciniales; Coleosporiaceae
Description: partial large subunit ribosomal RNA
Rfam family: Eukaryotic large subunit ribosomal RNA
Source: RNAcentral
GGGGGAAACCAAAUUUGUAAUCUGGCUCUUUUAUAAGGGUCCGAGUUGUAAUUUUGAGAACUGUUUUCCGUGCUGGACCAUGUACAAGUCUGUUGAAAAACAGCAUCAUUGAGGGUGAUAAUCCCGUACAUGAUAUGGACUACCAGGGCAAUGUGAUACAGUCUCUAAGAGUCGAGUUGUUUGGGAAUGCAGCUCAAAGUGGGUGGUAAAUUCCAUCUAAGGCUAAAUAUAGGUGAGAGACCGAUAGCAAACAAGUACCGUGAGGGAAAGAUGAAAAGAACUUUGGAAAGAGAGUUAACAGUACGUGAAAUUGUUAAAAGGGAAACAUUUGAAGUUAGACUUGUUAUUGUUGGUUCAGCUCUUUUUAUAAGGGUGUAUUCCAAUGGUUAACAGACCAGCAUCAAUUUUUGGGUGUUAGAUAAGGGUCUUGAGAAUGUAGCAACCUCGGUUGUGUUAUAGAUCUUGACUUGAUAUAAUGCUUAGGAUUGAGGAACGCAGUGAGCUUCUUUGAAGUGGAUCCCCUUGGGGGUCUUCUCACUACGGAUGUUGGUGUAAUAGCUUUAAAUGACCCGCUAAAAAA